RNAcentral lists this ribosomal RNA (273 nucleotides) under uncultured bacterium. RNAcentral's name for it is "partial 16S ribosomal RNA". It matches the Rfam family "Bacterial small subunit ribosomal RNA", at positions 524 to 796 of the family's 1533-position model. The record is from RNAcentral.
UACGAAGGGUGCAAGCGUUACUCGGAAUUACUGGGCGUAAAGCGUGCGUAGGUGGUUUGUUAAGUCUGAUGUGAAAGCCCUGGGCUCAACCUGGGAACUGCAUUGGAUACUGGCUUACUAGAGUGCGGUAGAGGGGUGCGGAAUUCCCGGUGUAGCAGUGAAAUGCGUAGAUAUCGGGAGGAACAUCCGUGGCGAAGGCGGCACCCUGGACCAGCACUGACACUGAGGCACGAAAGCGUGGGGAGCAAACAGGAUUAGAAACCCCCGUAGUCC